Ochotona princeps (American pika) is the source of this 149-nucleotide small nuclear RNA. RefSeq annotates it as U4atac minor spliceosomal RNA. The transcript has a single exon. The record is from RefSeq and is a predicted model, not a curated record. NCBI's taxonomy places the organism in Eukaryota, Metazoa, Chordata, Mammalia, Lagomorpha, Ochotonidae.
ACCAUCCUUUUCUUGGGGUUGUGCUACUGUCCAGUGAAUGCCUAGUAAGGACAGUACUGCUAACACCUACACCUACACCUACACACCUACACCUGCACCUACACCUAUACACCUGCACCGCCUGCAGCUAUUGCCUUAGUGGUGAAAAA